RNAcentral lists this ribosomal RNA (419 nucleotides) under bacterium. RNAcentral's name for it is "partial 16S ribosomal RNA". It matches the Rfam family "Bacterial small subunit ribosomal RNA", at positions 355 to 776 of the family's 1533-position model. The record is from RNAcentral.
UGGGGGAUAUUGCACAAUGGGCGAAAGCCUGAUGCAGCGACGCCGCGUGGGGGAUGAAGGCCUUCGGGUUGUAAACUUCUUUUGCUCUGAACAAGGCGCACCAUGGGGUGUGUUGAGUGUAGGGGUUGAUUAGCGCCGGCUAACUACGUGCCAGCAGCCGCGGUAAUACGUAGGGCGCGAGCGUUGUCCGGAAUUAUUGGGCGUAAAGGGCUUGUAGGUGGCUGGUUGCGUCUGUCGUGAAAGCUCAUGGCUUAACUGUGGGUUUGCGGUGGGUACGGGCUGGCUUGAGUGCAGUAGGGGGGGCUGGAAUUCCUGGUGUAGCGGUGGAAUGCGCAGAUAUCAGGAGGAAUACCUGUGGCGAAGGCGGGUCUCUGGGCUGUUACUGACACUGAGGAGCGAAAGCAUGGGGAGCGAACAGG